AUGUAAUACGACUCACUAUAGGGCGAAUUGGGCCCGACGUCGCAUGCUCCCGGCCGCCAUGGCGGCCGCGGGAAUUCGAUUAGAGUUUGAUCAUGGCUCAGAACGAACGCUGGCGGCGUGCUUAACACAUGCAAGUCGAACGGGUUCAUAAUGAGUAGCAAUACUUGAUAUGAAUUAGUGGCGGACGGGUGAGUAACACGUAGGUAACCUACCCUUGAGCGGGGGACAACCCAGGGAAACUUGGGCUAAUACCCCAUAAGACCACGGGGUGUGAAUCUUGUGGUAAAAGUAGCGAUACGCUCAUGGACGGGCCUGCGGCCUAUCAGGUAGUUGGUGAGGUAACGGCCCACCAAGCCAAAGACGGGUAGCCGGGCUGAGAGGUUGAACGGCCACACUGGAACUGAGACACGGUCCAGACUCCUACGGGAGGCAGCAGUGGGGAAUAUUGCACAAUGGGGGAAACCCUGAUGCAGCGACGCCGCGUGGAGGAUGAAGGUCUUCGGGUUGUAAACUCCUUUUAUUGGGAAAGAWRAUGACGGUACCC
RNAcentral lists this ribosomal RNA (544 nucleotides) under uncultured bacterium. Its description in RNAcentral is "bacterial SSU rRNA". The record is from RNAcentral.